AGCAGCGUAAAAUGCGUAAAAUGUGCGUAAAUCUACUCAGGUGGUUUCAUAUUAUUUUUUUUCUCAUAUUCACGACUGAUGCAUGCAAGGCUUAAGAGUUUAUUCUAAAUAGUGAUUUUAAGACCUAUUAGGAACAAUUACAAUAAUCUGGUCGUCUGACCUGGCUGUGUAAUAGAAUACUGCCACAGUUAGGGGUUCAGAUCUCUCUGGGAGAGAGAAUGGAAAUACUUGAGGGAAAAGGGAAAUAAAAAGCUAAUUUAAUGGUGCGUGCUUUUUCUUGUACUCUAAACCUACAUAGCAAAAAAAAAAAAAAAAAAAAAAGGUGCACAGUGUUCAAAUUUUAAGAUGAGCAGUUUUUCCUGAAAUCUACUAGCUGAAGUUUUUGUGAGCAUCUAUAAAGUAGAAAAAUGCAUCCCAGGGUCGUGAUUUUUAAUUCUAUAAGACCAACAUCCUGCACUCUAAAUCGAAUAAAAGUCUAUUUAAUGGACCUCAGAGCAGCGUGUACACAUGUAAAACAUGCCAGAGAGGGAGAACAGUCAUGAUGUGGGUGCAGAAAAGGCGCUGCAGCCGGUGGAGCCCUUGCGCCUCGGCUCCUCAGGAGUUAACGCACAAAGGUUGCGAGAAUGCUUCCAUGCGGAAACGUCGCGCACAGGCAACCUCAGUGAAGCACAGUGAAAGGGAAAGUGGCAACCAAAACAAGGGCAAAUUGAGCAGUCCUUGGGGGAUUUGGGUGUGCGGGGUGGCGGUGCUGGGAAUCCGCUGUAGAGAAAAAAAAAUCCAGAGAUAUAGCCCUUAAAAAUGCGCGCCGUCCCUCAAGAUGACCACAUAACCCCAGAGAUGAAUGGGGCCUUUGUUAAUGUGUGGGACCCCUGCGCCUAUGGAUGCACCCAUGGGUGGUAAUAAGUUACAGAUAUAUAGCUCCCUCUGCACCCAUUGGUUGAGUUUAGGGUGUCCGCAGUCUGCUGAGUCCACCUGGCCAAAGCAAGGCCUGUGGCAGGUGAUUCUCUGACCGGAUUAAGUUUAUCUUGUAUGCAGGUUAGAGCUGCAUGUCACGCGUUAACCCCCAACACUGCCUCAUAAGCCCCUCAAAUCAAAGAUGACGCACAGACUUUUAUUGCAAAUGGGAUUUAAGAGCAAAUAUAAGGCAGUGGAGUAGCUGUGCACAGGCUGUGUACUCCAUGCCAGUGCCCCCCUUCUUCUUCUCAUCCCAGUAGAUUUAAUUUGGACUGGGCUCAAAACCGAGGGAGCCUCGUGGAUUUGUUUACAUUGAAUAGGCAGGCUAGGGGCCAGAGCCAUGGGGCCCUCUAUUCAUUAAUAUACAGUGAGGAUUUCUGUCUAAAUUACUGCUGUUCAAUCCACACUGCACGCUUUGAAAAGGGCGUCUCAGGCGGCCAGCAGAAACGUGACACCAAGAGUUGCAUACGCAGAGGAGAGGGCUCCUUACACAAGACAACCCCUCAAAAAAUAGAAAAAUACACAAUAUAUAUGAAAGGAGAGUCAAAAGCCAUUUCAGAAAUGCUCCCUGAAAUCACGGAGCGGCGAUAAAAAAAACACUCCUCUCUGAUAUAUGAUGUGUUUAUUAUUUAUUUGCUUAUUAUAAAAGGUCCCCAAGUUCCCUGCUGGGGGAGUUCAUUUAUUUUGUAUGCAAAAAAAAAGAAGGGAAAAAAAAGAAAGAAAGGGGGGAGAGGAAAAAAAAUCAUCCCCAAGUAUAACAAGAGACGAACAGUUAGUGCUGAUUUUCAUUUGCAUAAAUUUUCAUAUAUUUUAGUGAAAAUAAUAGCGGGAGCCGAGGAGUGCUCCUGCUCAGUUGAGGCAGAGGAAAGAAAAUCUUAGGGAGCACCGAGUCGUAGGGAAGGGAGAUAACCAUUUACAGGCUCCAAAUGAACAAUGUGAAGUUAUUUCCCUUCUCUUGGACACAAGGAGAGCCACAGCCCCCUGUUGCACACACACAUCCAGACACACACGCCAAACUUUGGUCCUAACGUGACACCCCCUUCUUGUCCCCCAUCCUCCCCCUCCACGAUGCACAACCUCUGGAGGUAAGGGCCCGAGAGCUGGCUGCGUGAUUGUGUGUGCGCUCGCACCGUUUCUCUCCCCCAGCAAAAGCGGACACGCCGUCUCCCCAGCUUCCGCUUUCCUCUGCACGCCUGCUGCUGGAGUAUUCACGCUUCGGGCUGUUUUCUUUGAGAGAGAGAGAGGGGGAGAGAGAGGGAGACGGAGUAUAAAAAUAUGCAAAUGCUAUUGUUGAAGCGCAGAACGAAGGAAGGGGAGGGCGCUUCUUUUACACCCCCUCACCUCCCCUGUCGCUGCUGCUGCUGCUGCUGCCACCGUUACCGCUUCCACCUCCAUCCAACCGUCCUUCCAACCAUCCAGCCAGUGUUAGGAGAGGGAGUGAGAGCAACAAGAAAGAGAGAGAGAAGGGGGGGGGGGGGGACUCUCAGGUUUGACGUGACAACAGGGGCAGGAUAUUAAAAAUAUGCUGAAAGGCCACCAUUGUCUGUUUCGGCUGAGGCCGCUUUGCAGAACCACGCACAUGUACACAAACAUACAUGUACGUCUACGCACACAUAGAGAAACACACAGGCAGAGAGGGAGAUGGAGACGUGCAGCUAUUGAGAUAAUGAAAUCCAUCACACAAACCACAAAGACCUACAAAUGUCCCUAAGAGAGGGAGAGAGAGCGAGUCAGAGGACUUCAUCAUGCUCUGUACAUUAUAUAAGCAUGUGACUAAACACAAUCUGGUAAUGCUUUAUAUUACAGCCCACAUCAUACGGCGCAAUUAAUCCCAAUUCACAGUUGUGGCACUAGUGCAGCACUAAAGCAGAACAAUACAUACUUGUAGAUAUAAGGGGAGAAGAUACUUUUAGGGAGUAAUGAGGAAACAACAGAAGCUGCACACAGCAACAAGAUGACGAUGGGCAAAACACAGACUUCCCUUCAUCAAUUAUUAAAGAACUAUUAAUGGCACUUUAGUGUGAGGAAAGGCCUGAGAAGGUACUUUAUUGUUAACAGUCACUUCUGACGUUUUAUAGCGGUCAUGCUAAUGUGACUUUGCCCCCAAAAUCCUCCCAACCGGCCAUCCACUCGCUUGCUUGUUUCAACACAUGAUGCAAAUUUUUAAAAUGGUUUAACCCUCUAACCCCCGGGCAGUUUCUGGGCAUUUGUUUUGUUGUCGGUCCUGCCGCGUUUGCGCUCAACGUGGGCUACUUUUUCCACAGCAACGCCAAAUCCCGCACCUCAGUAGAAACAGCACAACGCUGGCAACAAGGAGAGAGAAAUCCCUAAUCUCUUCUGUGCAUGAAAGUAAAGUCAUCAUGCGAGAUAAAAAAAAAAAGAGGAAAAACCAAGAAUCAGCAUGUUUUUCCAAGGUGUUUUCAUACUUGUCUCCCAUCUCUUCCUGCAGUCCAGCCCAGCUGAUGUCACUACAUUUCUUUUUCACGUGACCGUUAGUUGCACCUGUGUCACUCAUGACUUCUCAGUUUUGCCAAGGAGCACAGAUUUGUUCUUGUAUUUUACAGAUUUACAUUACAACAAUUGAUUUAUUUUUAAUAUUUUUUCUAAAGAUAUGUGGAAUAAAGUGAUUUUGAGGGGGAAAAAAGCUACAACUUCAGGCUUAUGUCUGGUUAAUUUUCCCCAUGCAACGGCGUGUUUCAGACGAGCAGUUCAAGGACAAUCAUCCAGUUGAAAAUCUUGUAAUUCUUCACGUUCUUGCACUUUAUUGCUCUGAUAAACAGUCUCAUUUUGGUGCAGUUUUACAGAUAGCAUGCCUUUUGGGGUUCAGGAGGUUAAGUGCAAGUAAUCUGCCUUGUAAUUGUGUUUGACUGGGCCCUUAAGAUGUGCCAUAGUGGAAAACAAGCUUACAGUUUUCAUAGUGGUAGAAACGGGUGACUGUUCCGCCCUUGUUCCCUAAACCUCAGAUCCUGCUUUCUUAUAAGCAUGUAUUGCUACGUGCUGUGCUAGUAUGCUAAAAAUGUAAAUUUGUAUUAAUUACGCUCUGGAAACCUGGCAGCAUUGUCUUUUAAUAGCCAAAGCGAUAAAACACACUCGAAUUGAACAGAGAGCAACAAAAGAAAGAGAGAAAGGGCUACAAACUGUGGAAGCUGUGCACACAGGUGCCUUCACCUCUGGGAGAACAGAUCUCGACUCAAGUUGAAGGUGCUUCGUUAUGUCAUAUUGUACACUGCGGUAAACCUUGAUUGCAUGCUGAGGAAGGGCAUCUGUCCAGAACAUGCCUGCAUGAUUUCAUCAAUUGUGCUCUUCCGUUCCGCUGAUGAUUUGCUGAAUUAAACGCAAAAACAGCCUAAUGACAAUCUGCAUAUAUCACGUGGUUUAUAGUUAGUUUCUAGUGUGUAUUUGGGAUACAACAAUUACCGGACACCUGCACAAAGACCUUCUAACUCUCUGAUAACUCACAUCAAACUGCCCUAUAUGGCAGAUAAUAGCUGUAAAUUAUGAAUGAAGCUUUUGAUAUGACUAUUUGUACUUUUAGCCAUGUACAUCUUAAGUACCAUAACAGCACAAAAAAACAUCAGGGUAGACAAGAUGUAUUGAUUCCCCUUACUUUUCUCCACACACUCUUUGAAAAAGAAACAGAGAAGGAGACAAUCACACAUAUACACAGACCGACACACACCCUCAGAGAGAGAGAGAGAAUGUGUGUGAAAGUGGGAAGCCCAUUUGUAAAGCCCUCACGCUCUCAGGAAGACUUUUUGAAGUGAUUAUGAAGACAGUUCAGAUCAAAGGAUUUGACAAGUCUGAGUGCGCGCCAAAUAUGAGGCCGGGUAAUCACACUGAAGCCCCUCCAUACAAGAUGGCAGUGGUCCCCCCAGCUGCUUUGCAAAUGUAAUGUGACACUUACGGAUAAACAGAUUAUCAAGAAAUGGAGGGGUGGGGUUGGGUGAAGGGACCAGAAGGAAAUAAAAAAUAAAUAAAUAAAAGAAGGAGUCCACAACUUGCAGAAACAGAUGAGGAGGAAGAGUUUAUUUAAUGAACUCCAGGGAUGGGCAGUGUCAGAGAAAUGAUGAUUAAUUCUCCGACGCUGAUACAGGUCUAAACGAUAUAAUUUGGGAAUAUUAGCGGCAGCAUUAGAUGAUGAGGCAGUAUUUCUCGUGGUAGUGUGGUAGACUUGGGGGACUUUUUUUUUCCCCCUUCCUUUCUCUUUUCCUUCACUAGUUAUUAUAGAUUAAUCCAUAAUCCUCACCACCUAAAGACAUUUUUGUCAGUGAAGCUCAGGGAUAGAGCCGGUAGAAUUUUUUUUUUUUUUGAAUAUAUCUGUGCUCCUGCUCAUUUCCCCUCAGCAUGAUGUCACAUUGUCACAUCUCCUACUGAAAAUACUCUAUUGCCAGCUCCUCUCAGAUAUACCGUUUCAUUUUGGCAGAGCUGAGGUGGGACUUAUCAGUUUAUGUAACCGGAAAUUUUCUACAUCGUGUACACUGUUUCAUUUAUUUAACAUUAUGCUCUGUAGAAUGAGCUUCAUUGCUCAUAAUAAGGCAGAAAUGCACAUAAUGAGUUGAUGUAAACCACUUUGUUUCUGUCUUUUUAUGAAUGAGAUGUUGUGUAUGGCGUGAACAGAUCAAGAUCAAGUUGUGCAGCUGUGUCAUAAUGUCAUGCUUUUACUAGACUUGAAGGGUUGUCGUGUGCCUGGAAUGCAUAUAGCAGUUUAAAAUCCAAACUCCAUUGACAAAACAAUCCAUGUUAUUGAUGUUUUGUUCCAUAUGUCUGCAUUUAGUGCUCUACAGCGACAAACGGAAUAAAGAGAGGGCUGCCUUGGAUGCAGGAAAUGCUGGAAUAUCAUUUGAUGUACGGUGAAAACCAUGUAUCUCCAAAUUUGGGAAAAAUGACCUACAUUCAGCUAUUUAAAAAAUGUUUCGCGAUGAAGCAAAAAAAGCUGAUAUUUAAUGCAUUCCCUUUACAUUGUGUUCAGCCAAAAAUGAAAUAAAAAUCAGUGUAUCGAAUGUUUCCUUGCUUUAAACCGUGCAAUAAAAGCAGAUCAACAGAA
This is a long non-coding RNA of Acanthochromis polyacanthus (spiny chromis), 5998 nucleotides long. RefSeq lists it as uncharacterized. The record is from RefSeq and is a predicted model, not a curated record. NCBI's taxonomy places the organism in Eukaryota, Metazoa, Chordata, Actinopteri, Pomacentridae. The transcript is spliced from 2 exons.